RNAcentral lists this long non-coding RNA (312 nucleotides) under Homo sapiens (human). RNAcentral's name for it is "long non-coding RNA NONHSAT024478". The record is from RNAcentral. Lineage: Eukaryota; Metazoa; Chordata; Mammalia; Primates; Hominidae.
UGGUCAUCCCGCCUCAGCCACCUACUACAGGACCGCCAAGAAAAGAAGUUCCCAAAACCACUCCUAGUGAGCCCAAGAAAAAGCAGCCUCCACCACCAGAAUCAGGUCCAGAGCAGAGCAAACAGAAAAAAGUGGCUCCCCGCCCAAGUAUCCCUGUAAAACAAAAACCAAAAGAAAAGGAAAAACCACCUCCGGUCAAUAAGCAGGAGAAUGCAGGCACUUUGAACAUCCUCAGCACUCUCUCCAAUGGCAAUAGUUCUAAGCAAAAAAUUCCAGCAGAUGGAGUCCACAGGAUCAGAGUGGACUUUAAGG